This 442-nucleotide ribosomal RNA is filed under the name uncultured bacterium. RNAcentral describes it as "bacterial SSU rRNA". It matches the Rfam family "Bacterial small subunit ribosomal RNA", at positions 339 to 796 of the family's 1533-position model. The record is from RNAcentral.
CUACGGGAGGCAGCAGCAAGGAGUUUUCCGCAAUGGGCGAAAGCCUGACGGAGCAACGCCGCGUGUGGGAUGACGCCCUUCGGGGUGUAAACCACUUUUCUUGGGGACGAAGCAGUGACGGUACCCGAGGAAGAAGGCCCGGCUAACUACGUGCCAGCAGCCGCGGUAAUACGUAGGGGCCGAGCGUUGUCCGGAGUUACUGGGCGUAAAGCGCGCGCAGGCGGCUCGUCAAGCCUGACGUGAAAGCCCCCGGCUCAACCGGGGAGGGUCGUCGGGGACUGGCGGGCUUGAGGUCGGCAGGGGUUGGUGGAAUUCCCGGUGUAGUGGUGAAAUGCGUAGAGAUCGGGAGGAACACCCGUGGCGAAGGCGGCCAACUGGGCCGGACCUGACGCUGAGGCGCGAAGGCGUGGGGAGCGAACGGGAUUAGAAACCCUAGUAGUCC